This 1267-nucleotide long non-coding RNA is filed under the name Homo sapiens (human). Its description in RNAcentral is "small nucleolar RNA host gene 17, transcript variant 48 (SNHG17)". Lineage: Eukaryota; Metazoa; Chordata; Mammalia; Primates; Hominidae. The record is from RNAcentral.
AGUCCUUCGCCGUCCCUCGCCGUCCUUCGCCAUCGCACGCCACCGCACCCCAUCUCUCGAAAUCUGCAGACAUCUUGAUUUUUCCCACGCUGUCUGUCAGGUCUCCGCCGCCACUCGACGCCAGGGCGCCGGGUGAGUCCACAGCAGGGCGCAUGGUCGGCUCCACUCUCACCAUCGGGGGAAACUGAGGCCCCGGGGAAGGCGGCCAGAGAGGUCAGGCCCUGUCCUUGGUGCAGUGUCUCGUCCUCUUUGCCGGAGUGAGCCCCCCAGGAUUCGCGUGUCCUCGGGAAAGACACUGGCAGGCCUUGUGGGCUGUGCUGCACCUCGGACGGCUUCGCACCAGCCAGCGCCCUCUCUCUCCUGCAGCACUCUGAUCUGCACCCCCUGAGGGGCUUCCACUGUCCGCGGGGUGAGAAUGCCCCUGGGAGUGUCACAUGACUGCCGCCCCAUGUGUGUGAGAGGCGUCCUCUGGGAGAGCAUGGAUCCUGAGGUCCCAGGAACAUCCCGAGAGCCAAGUUCCCAGAUGCCAGCCAAGGGCCAUCUGACCUGUUUUGAAUCUCAAUUUCCUGAUACAGAAAACAAAGGAUUGUCAGCUGACCUCUGUCCUGUGUGCCCAGUGGCCCCAGGUGACGUGUCUUCAAGAAGAGGCUGAGCUGCGGUGCUUGUAAGGGUCUCAUUCUGUCACCCAGGCUGGAGUGCAGUGGUGCAAUGAUGGCUCACUGCAGCCUCGACCUGGGCUCAAGUGAUCCUCCACCUCAGCUUCCUGAGUAGCUGGGACCACAGAUGGGUCUGCUGUGUGCAGAGGCUCCAUGGGAUGUGUUGUCUUCAUAGUAGCAGGGCGCUGGACCAUGGGUCCGCAAGGUCUCAGCCUUAGAUCCAAGGACAGUCCAAGGAAGUCCUAAGACCAUGGAGUUGGUGAUCUGGGAUCUGGGUUUGCUGAUAUUUCUCACCGUGAAUCUCUUGGUGGUGUUUGUGGGCACGAGAGGGGCAGAGAAUGGAGAGUGAGGCUACCACAUGAAGCGUCACCAGAGCUGCUCCCUGCUGCCUGCUCAGAGCACCCCGGAUCCACUGUUCAAUCUGCACAAGAUUCGGGGUCCAGACAUGGGAGACUUCAGCUGCCUCAGAGGACCGUGGACAGGGAAGGCCAGCCUCGCAUCCCUCUGUCCAUGCCUGGAAUGACUUUAAUAACCAAGAGUUUUAUUUUUGAAUUUGUAGCUGUCGUUCACUUUUUACCCACCCAUUCAAUAAACCUUACAGAAUUGCUCCA